Molecule: non-coding RNA, 45 nt
Organism: Schistosoma rodhaini
Lineage: Eukaryota; Metazoa; Platyhelminthes; Trematoda; Strigeidida; Schistosomatidae
Source: Rfam
AUCCAGCUGACGAGUCCGAAAUAGGAAUUGACGCGCGUCCUGGAU